AUAUAUAUAUAUAUAUAUAUAUAUAUGUAUUUAUUUUUCGGAAAUGUGUGUGUUUAAAAUGUAUUGUUCAAGUCACUAUUCUGAACAAGACUUGAGAUCUCUGAAUUUGGUGAAGUAGAAAAAUAAGAACAUAGUGUAGUACUGGCCUACUAUCUGCCAUGACCUGUAGGGAGCUUACUGUGACCAGAAGUAAUUGAAUAUUGAAGCUUCUUCGGCACAGUUGUCUAUCCUUGUUAAUGUGCUAUUAAAUGCCAGUUCAUGUUAACAGUCGUUAUAUGGAGAUCCUCAACUCGUUUAGGUGACAAACAAAAUUUUACUAUGUGUGUGUGUGUGUGUGUGACUGUAUGUAUGUUUGUGUGUGUGGUAGCAAUAGUAUAAUUCUGGAAAGACUAACCAAAGUUGAAGAUUUCACAUAUGUAAUAAAUAAAUUAUUAUUAUUUUUGAAAUCACUGGAUUUCUAGAAUGAAAAUAAAAGGCUGUGCAUUUUA
Molecule: non-coding RNA, 488 nt
Organism: Biomphalaria pfeifferi
Lineage: Eukaryota; Metazoa; Mollusca; Gastropoda; Planorbidae
Source: the annotation of a GenBank genome assembly